This 253-nucleotide ribosomal RNA is filed under the name uncultured bacterium. RNAcentral's name for it is "partial 16S ribosomal RNA". It matches the Rfam family "Bacterial small subunit ribosomal RNA", at positions 524 to 776 of the family's 1533-position model. The record is from RNAcentral.
UACGGAGGGUGCAAGCGUUAUCCGGAUUCACUGGGUUUAAAGGGUGCGUAGGUGGGUUGGUAAGUCAGUGGUGAAAUCUCCGAGCUUAACUUGGAAACUGCCAUUGAUACUAUUAGUCUUGAAUACCGUGGAGGUCAGCGGAAUAUGUCAUGUAGCGGUGAAAUGCUUAGAUAUGACAUAGAACACCAAUUGCGAAGGCAGCUGACUACGCGAAUAUUGACACUGAUGCACGAAAGCGUGGGGAUCAAACAGG